ACCAGCCUGAAUUUUCACUCUAGACGAAGCAGGGUUGGGACUGAUUAGUACCUGCAUGGGAGACCACCAGGAACUAUUGGGGGAUGCUGGCU
RNAcentral lists this ribosomal RNA (92 nucleotides) under Pogona vitticeps (central bearded dragon). The record is from RNAcentral. Lineage: Eukaryota; Metazoa; Chordata; Lepidosauria; Squamata; Agamidae.